GCCAGGGUUUUUAUUUUUUUUAAUGUUUAUGUUAUUUGAAUAAGCCAUUCAAAUAACAUAAAAAAGAAAAUAGAUAUUGACAUGGAUUAAACAAAGAUAUAUAUUAUUCUAUGUUGCAUAAACAAAUUGGCAAAGUAGAGAUGGAAGAUAAAAAUAUGGUCAAAGUAAUAAGAGUCUAUGGUGAAUGCCUAGGAGCUUUAAGGCGAAGAAGGUCGUGGUAAGCUGCGAAAAGCUUGGGGGAGAAGCAAACAUUUAUUGAUCCCAAGAUUACCGAAUGGAGUAAUCCAGCUAGCAAGAUGCUAGCUAUCUAUUAUCUAAAUAAUAGAGGCGAUACCAGGGG
RNAcentral lists this unclassified non-coding RNA (340 nucleotides) under Borreliella spielmanii. Lineage: Bacteria; Pseudomonadati; Spirochaetota; Spirochaetia; Spirochaetales; Borreliaceae. The record is from RNAcentral.